Molecule: transfer-messenger RNA, 363 nt
Filed under: Escherichia coli
Lineage: Bacteria; Pseudomonadati; Pseudomonadota; Gammaproteobacteria; Enterobacterales; Enterobacteriaceae
Rfam family: transfer-messenger RNA
About the family: Bacterial tmRNA, also known as 10Sa RNA or SsrA, is named for its dual tRNA and mRNA-like properties.
Source: RNAcentral
GGGGCUGAUUCUGGAUUCGACGGGAUUUGCGAAACCCAAGGUGCAUGCCGAGGGGCGGUUGGCCUCGUAAAAAGCCGCAAAAAAUAGUCGCAAACGACGAAAACUACGCUUUAGCAGCUUAAUAACCUGCUUAGAGCCCUCUCUCCCUAGCCUCCGCUCUUAGGACGGGGAUCAAGAGAGGUCAAACCCAAAAGAGAUCGCGUGGAAGCCCUGCCUGGGGUUGAAGCGUUAAAACUUAAUCAGGCUAGUUUGUUAGUGGCGUGUACGUCCGCAGCUGGCAAGCGAAUGUAAAGACUGACUAAGCAUGUAGUACCGAGGAUGUAGGAAUUUCGGACGCGGGUUCAACUCCCGCCAGCUCCACCA